This 69-nucleotide transfer RNA is filed under the name Calliophis bivirgatus (Blue Malaysian coral snake). Its description in RNAcentral is "tRNA-His". Lineage: Eukaryota; Metazoa; Chordata; Lepidosauria; Squamata; Elapidae. The record is from RNAcentral.
UGUGUAUGUAAUUUAAAUAAAAUAUCAAGCUGUGACCUUGACAAUAGAACCUUUUCCCCCUCAUACACC